Cyprinus carpio (common carp) is the source of this 2632-nucleotide long non-coding RNA. The record is from Ensembl. Lineage: Eukaryota; Metazoa; Chordata; Actinopteri; Cypriniformes; Cyprinidae.
AGAUAGAUAGAUAGAUAGAUAGAUAGAUAGAUAGAUAGAUAGAUAGAUAGAUAGAUAGACUUCAUAAACACUGUAAGAAAAGCAUUAAUCAUUGAUUUAAUACUCUGUCUGCUUUUCGUUUCAGAGGCGUUUUCAAAAGAGGACAGCUAAUUCUGAAAAAUGGUCAAAAUCAAGCCAAACGCAUGAAUGUGAGCAGACGUCUGAGCUAAUGUCUAGGAUCAGGAGCCUUUUCUGUGGGCUAAGAAAAGGAAAUUGCGCCCCCUACCGAACCAAACUCUGCUUUCUGACUCUGUUCUGAGCCAGAGGCUUUUCUCCAUCAACAUGAACAUGUGCCAGCACGCCGCUCCUCAAUCAGAUGACCUUGGCAGCGGGACGCAGCCGACGGUCUCGGAGCGAAAGAGCCAUCCAUCACGCUGCAGACAGACCGCCUGUCACUCCGUUAUCAAGCCUCUGAAAACUCAGACUGAUGUCUCAGGGAGCCAUAUGGAGAGGAGAUCCAGUAUUUACUCGGAGGAGCUGUGAUUCAUGGCUAAGUGAUACUCAACAAAUGGUGUAUGAGGGCCAAAAAAAGAAGAGUACGAGAGUUCAGCGAAUGACCUUAAAUGACACCACAUCAGUCAGGAUGCUGUGUUUGUGCACAUGCUGUGUCGAUCGGCCGUGUCUCACCCUGCUCGAUCGUUCACAUCUGUGGAGAUGAAAGGCGAGGGAGAGAAACGCUUUCAUAUGCCAAAGGAAGCAUUUCAUUGCAUGCUGUGCAAAAACAACAAGACUACAUGUGUGUGUGCAUCACACUCCAUUAUUUGAGCCACCCAGACAGAAAAAGAGCCAGUCAAGAAGGACAAGGUUGCAUCACCAUCCACAGGCUAAAUAUAUAUAUCAUACGGGUCAUUUCCAGUCAAUGACACGAUUUUUGAUGGUUAAACCAAGAAGUCGAUGUUUUGUUGGUUAGCAUGGAAAACAGCAUCUUUCUCCAUGGAUGGCCAUUCAGCCCAAACACAAAGGUGUACUUCUCAAGUAAUGUAAGUGGGUCAUAAAGCAUUUGGACUGUUGUAUAAAAUAUUAUGUUCCAUCAGUCAAACUCUGCCUGCAGUGUGAUAGGAGAUGGAAACUUGGCUAAACAUCCAGUGUCUAUUGUAUGAAGAGAGAUUGAGCACUAGAAACAGAAGUUAUUGAUAUAAACUGUGGUAAUAUUUAUCUUGUAACCAGAGAUCUGACUGUGGAACAAGGCGAGCCGUCUUCUGUGUGCUAACGUCCUGCGGUUGCCAGACGACACACCUAAUCAUUUCUUCUGCUCGAGUCAGCAUCUGACGCAAGUGCAAAGUGUUUCUGUCAGAAGAUAACAAAAGAUCACAGUCGAUGGUCUCCUGCAGUCUGACUUUAAGAGUGCUCCAGAUGCAUCAUCGUGGCAUGUUUGUGCUUCUGUUGUCUGUUGAAAUGGUGCGUCCAGGUCCAGUGAAUGCGCUCAUGCAGAUUCUUGGAAAUGAGCAGGAUUUUUACAUUACAAUGAACUCAGUAACUGAGGGUCAAUGUGUUACAAGCCAACUAAAACAGAAUGAACAAAUAUAAGGCACUGAUUAUGCUAACAUCUUUUAUUUUUAUUCAUUUUGACAUUGAUUUAAAGAUUUGGCAAACAUUUUUUAUAUAUAUAUAUAUAUAUAUACUUUUGAAGUAUUUUUUUUUUAUUUAUUUUCAAAUUUUGAUAUCAAUUUUUGAUAUGUGGUGACAUCUGAAUAUGUGGUGGAUGUUUUGGGGUUCAGCAUGGCAAUUUUUUUUUUAUUUCUAUACAUUAUUUUUUUUUUAUGUCAGAAUUUUUAUUUUUUAUAUUUUCUUUAUAGAGCUAUCUGAAAAUAUCUGGAACAUUUUGUGCUUAGAUGGCAAACUUUCUGUACAUUUCUAUGCUUUUUGUUUUUCAAAUGUUUGUCAAUUUGUUUUUAUAUAGCUAUGUGAAAAUGUAGACAUUUUAUGGUGGGCAAACUGUUUAUUUCUGUACUUUUUUUUCAAAUUUUAUAGCAAUGUUUAUUUUUAGAAAGAUAUUUGAAAACGUGGGAUGUUUUAUGAUUCUGCAUGACAAACAAGUUUUUAUUUCUAAAUAUUAUUGAUCUAUUUAUUUAUUUAUAUUAUUAUUAUUUUUAUUUUGAUGUCAAUAUGUAUUUUUAUAAAGUUUUCUGAAAAUGUGACAUUUUGUGGUUCUGCAUAUAAAACUGUGUUUUAUUUCUAUACAUUUCCAUAUUUUACGUUUUGAUGUUAAUAGUUAUUUUUAUAAAGCUAUCUGGAAACAUAUGGUGGACAUUUUGUGGAACUGUACAACAAAAUUAAAAUAUGUUUUGACAGCUGUGUUACUUGUUGUGACAAAACUGUGCUUAGUUUAGAUAAAUAUGUCUAAUCAGUUGAGAAAAACAAUGUUGCAAUAUUAAAGCUAAAGCCCAGAUAGGGUUUAAAUGCAUCUGUGAUCUUUCACGUAAAAAGUCCAGAUCUGUACACACCUCAACCGAGAUCUGACACAGAUCUGAAUCAUACAGCACAGCUGUAGACAAACAUGUGUAUGUGUACUCGAUGAUCAAGAGCAAUCAUGCCUUCUGGACUGUUAUCAAGAAAAUAUUUAAUAAACAUGGUAACAACACAUCCUUAAACA